GACGAACGCUGGCGGCAUGCCUAACACAUGCAAGUCGAACGGAGCCAAUCGAAAGAUCCCUUCGGGGUGAAUUUUGAGGAAGCUUAGUGGCGGACGGGUGAGUAACGCGUGAGUAACCUGCCUUUCAGAGGGGGAUAACGUUCCGAAAGGAACGCUAAUACCGCAUAACGUAUUUUUACCGCAUGAUAGAAAUACCAAAGAUUUAUCGCUGAAAGAUGGACUCGCGUCUGAUUAGCUAGUUGGAGGGGUAACGGGCCCACCAAGGCGACGAUCAGUAGCCGGUCUGAGAGGAUGAACGGCCACAUUGGGACUGAGAUACGGCCCAGACUCCUACGGGAGGCAGCAGUGGGGAAUAUUGGGCAAUGGGGGAAACCCUGACCCAGCAACGCCGCGUGAAGGAAGAAGG
This 406-nucleotide ribosomal RNA is filed under the name uncultured bacterium. Its description in RNAcentral is "bacterial SSU rRNA". It matches the Rfam family "Bacterial small subunit ribosomal RNA", at positions 28 to 414 of the family's 1533-position model. The record is from RNAcentral.